Long non-coding RNA from Puntigrus tetrazona (Sumatra barb), 417 nucleotides. RefSeq lists it as uncharacterized. The transcript is spliced from 2 exons. NCBI's taxonomy places the organism in Eukaryota, Metazoa, Chordata, Actinopteri, Cypriniformes, Cyprinidae. The record is from RefSeq and is a predicted model, not a curated record.
GAGAAAUCUACAGCACAGAGAUUCAGACAUAAAACCUGCAAUUAUUUCAAAGGAGCAGCUCUCUCUCAACAACAAGCUGAGAUAGCCAAUGGUGAAGAUGCUAAGAAAUUGUGUCAACUCAAGCUCAAAUGGCUCUAGAGUUUCUCAAGCAGCAAGCUGGAGAAAACAUAUAUCCUAGAGAUGACACUCCUGUGGCAACACAAUCAAGGCUUCUCCGGUGUGUUUAAAGACAAACACAGCCAGAAAGGACUGCUGUGAGCAGAACUGGAGGGAAAGCAUGAUGCCAGACCAGAACACAUUCAGCAUAAGAUGAAUGUCAACAAGAUCUCCAUCUUGAGGCAUUGGUACAGACUUAAAAAUGUAGUGGACUAUUACGCUUUCAGUUUGUUAUUUUGAAAAUAAAGUAAAGAGAUAUUU